Molecule: long non-coding RNA, 8189 nt
Organism: Eriocheir sinensis (Chinese mitten crab)
Lineage: Eukaryota; Metazoa; Arthropoda; Malacostraca; Decapoda; Varunidae
Exons: 3
Source: RefSeq, a predicted model, not a curated record
CCACUCUUCCUUACUUUUUGUGUUCAUUCUUUUGACUUCAUUCUUUAACUUUUUCUCAUAUCUUGUUUCCUUCUCUUCUUAUCUUCCUUUCUUUUUUGUGUUCAUCCUUUUAACUUCAUUCCUUAUCUCUUUCUCAUACCUCGUUUACCUCUCCUCUCUUCCUUUAUUCCUUUAUUUUUGUGUUCAUCCUUUUAACUUCAUUCCUUAUCUCUUUCUCAUACCUCGCUUACCCCUCCUCACUUCCUUUAUUCCUUUCUUUUUGUGUUCAUCCUUUUAACUUCAUUCCUAAACUCUUUGUCACAACUUGUUUCCUUUUCCUCUUUUCUUAUAUUCCUUUCUUUUUGUGUUCAUCCUUUUAACUUCAUUCCUAAAUUCUUUGUCAUAUCUUGUUUCCUUUUCCUCUUUUCUUAUAUUCCUUUCUUUUUGUGUUCAUCCUUUUAACUUCAUUCCUAAACUCUUUGUCACAACUUGUUUCCUUUUCCUCUUUUCUUAUAUUCCUUUCUUUUUGUGUUCAUCCUUUUAACUUCAUUCCUAAACUCUUUGUCAUAUCUUGUUUCCUUUUCCUCUUUUCUUAUAUUCCUUUCUUUUUGUGUUCAUUCUUUUAACUUCAUUCCUAAACCCUUCCUCUUUUCCUGGUUUCUCUUCCUCCUCUCCUCUUUUCUUUCUGUUCUGUUCCUCUUUUACUCAUUCCUUCACCCUCUAUUCUUUUUUUUUCUAUUUUUCCCUCCUUUUUUUUCUGCGCUUAUCCUUUUAUUCUCAUUCCUACUCCCUCUCUCUUUCUAUUUUCUCUUUCUUUUCUUUCUCUACUCACCCUUUUAACUGCAUUCCCAAACCGUCUCUUUUUUCCUAUUUUUCUCUUCUUCCUCUUUCUUUAUUUUCUUACUUUUAUCAUCGUUCUUACACCCCCCUUUUUCAAUUUCCCUUUCUCCCUUUCUCUCUUUGUUCAUCCUCUAAUCUUUAUUCCUUCACCCUCUCUCUUUUCCUUUUUUCUCAUCUUCCUCACUUUUUUUUCUCUUUGUCAUUUUAUCCUCAUCCCUCACCCCAACACCCACAUUCACUGACACUUCUUAGUUUCUUCGUUUCAUCUUUUUUAUAUUAUCUAUUUUUUUUUUCUUUAAUACACAUCCAUCCUCGGAAUUCCGCAUCAGGAAAAGAAGCGUUAACUACUAUACUGUGUCCAAGAUUGUUUUUUCCAUCAUUUUGCCCUCAAUAAGUGAAGAGCGAUUAAUUUAUUUACGACUCGUCUUUUCCUGCUUCGAGACACAAGGGCAAAGGAGACGAGAGAGAGAGAGAGAGAGAAAAACCAAAACAAACACAAAAAAAAUAGGUAUUAUAAUCAGGCCGGAAUUUCUUGUUUGAGCGAGCGAGGACGACUGGUGAAAUAAUAAUAAUAACAACAAUAAUAGUAGUAGUAGUAGUAGUAGUAGUAGUAGUAGUAGUAGUAAUGAGAUGCGGAACCGUUGGGGAAAGAAAAUAUAAAGUGAACAUCAGAUAUGCUUUUGACGUCCUCUGAUCUAUGUUUGUGAAUUCAGGUGUGUAGAGAGAAGACAGGUGUGUAUAGAGACGAGGGAGAGAGAGGUAAAGAUAGGUGCGGUUAGGGGGGGGAUGUGUGUAAGGGGAAGUGGGUGAAAGGUGUGAGUGGGGGGGGCGUUGAAAAUAGAGGAUGGAUGUAGUUGUAAGUAUGGUGUGGAGGAGUGUGAGAGUGUUUGUGAGGAAGGGGAGAGGAGAAAACAGGUGUGCAGGUGUGUUACGGGGGAGGGGAGGACAGGUGGGCUUGCAUAUGUUCGGGGAGAAGGAAAGACAGGUGAGGGUAUCUGUGUUGGGGGAGGGAGAGGGGAAGGAUGCGUGUAUGAGGGGAAGUGAGGGAGACAGGUAUGGUGUGUUUUGGGGAUAAGGGGAAGACAGGUGAGUAUGUGUGGGUGGGGAGGAAGGGGAGAGUAAGGGAGGUGAGGGGAUGUUGUGAGGAGAAAGGGAGAGACAAGAAGGGUAUGUCUGUGGGGUGAAGGGAAGAGGAAGACAGGUAUAGGGUGCUUGUGUGAGGGGGGAGUAAAGAGGGGAGAGGAAGUUAAAGGGGUAAGGAAGCGUCAAUAUCUGUGUGGGAGGGAGAGGGAAAGACAGGUAAGGGUUCGUGUGUCGAGGUGGAGGAGGGAAGUAAAAGAGGAGAGGGUGUAUGGAGGUGAGAGGGAUCGUAGGCGAGGGAGAAUAAAGAGGGGUAAGGAAGCGUCAAUACCUGUUGGGGAGGGAGAGGGAAAGACAGGUAAGGGUGUGUGUGUCGGGGUGGGGAAGGGAAGUAAAAGAGGAGAGGGUGUAUGGAGGUGAGUGGGAUCGUAGGCUAGGGAGAGUGAGGGGUAAGGAAGCUCCCAUACCUCACCUCAUUACCGGCGUUCGUGCUUACCUGAGGGAAAAGAAAGAAAAAGGUUUAGGUCUUUAGUAGAAGGGCAAGUUAUCCUCGUUGAUGUUCUCGUGUCAUUAAAAGCAAAAUAACAUAGUGAUAAGUAAAAGUGCAUAUUAAGUGAAGUCUACGGCACUUUAAAGAGAAAUAGAGGAAAAGAAGUCGUUGAUGUUCUCGUGUCAUUAAAAGCAAAAUAACACGGUGAUAAGUAAAAGCGUAUAUUAAGUGAAGUCUACGGCACUUUAGAGAGAAAAGGGGAAAAGAAGGAAAGAGAAAAAAAAGGAGAGAUGAGAGAAAAUUUAAGAGAAGAAAGACCUACCCACCUCUCGUCUUUUCUUUCUAUUCCUUCCCUUGACUUAGGUUAGGUCAAGUUAGGAUAGGGUAGGGUAAUUACUUAGUUCGGUUAUGAUAGGCUAGGAUAUCUACGUUAGUUAGGUUAGGUCAAGUUAGGAUAUCUACGUUAGUUAGGUUAGGUUAAAUUAGGAUAUCUACGUUAGUUAGGUUAGGUCAAGUUAGGAUAUCUACGUUAGUUAGGUUAGGUUAAAGUUAGGAUAUCUACGUUAGUCAGGUUAGGUUAGGGUAUCUAGUUAGGUUAGGUUAGGAUAUCAAGUUAUUUAGGUUAAGUUAGAAUAUCUUGUUAGUUAGGUUAGACUAGGUUAGGAUAUCUAGUCACUUAGGUUAGGUUAGAGUAUCUAGUUAGGUUAAGUUAGGAUAUCAAAUUAGUUAGGUUAGGUUAAGUUAGGACAUCUACGUUAGUCAGGUUAGGUUAGGGUAUCUAGUUAGGUUAGGUUAGGAUAUCAAGUCAUUUAGGUUGAGUUAGAAUAUCUUGUUAGGUUAGACGAGGUUAGGAUAUCUAGUCAGUUAGGUUAGAUUAAGUUAGUAUUGAUGGUUAGGCAUCUAGUGAACCAAAAUACCUGCACCUUCCCUCUAAGCGGCGUCAAGGUGUGAGAGCAUUAUAGUGGCAUGCCGUGAAGGUCCUCCCGCCGCCCGUGCCACUGAGGAUAAACACUGCCACACGCCUCCUGUAAACAAGGCGAUAAGGGGCUCAGGCAGUGGCUCAGGGCGGCUCGGUCUGCCAAAGGGUCGUAUUUUAAAACAUUCUGUCGCCCAAGUUCACAUAUUUGACAUGGCUUUCGUAGGAGCUGUAGGCCUUUCCAGGGGUAGUUUUAUGACCCUGGUUGUAGUUUGACCCUUCUUCUGUGCCAUGAACCUUAAAAAACACUCAUGAAAACCCGAUUGAUCCCCUCUUUGACCUUUAGAAAUAGUUGAUGGGAGAAGCGAUGGUGUCUUAAAAUACGACCCAAAGCCCCUGAGUGCUCGCGGGACCUCAAAACCAUGCGACACCCAAACCGAUAAAUGCGACGUCGUGAAAGCCAGGUGUCGAAGGUGAAAGCGUUCUUGUUUAGUAUGUGUUGCGCAGGUGCUGUUGAAGUUAAAAAUAGGAGUUGUGGAAUUUAUUGAUGCUAAAUAUAUGAGUUUUGUAAUAUGUUGAAGCUAAAUAUAUGGGUUUUGUAAUAUGUUGAAGCUAGUUAUAUGGGUUGCGGAAUAUGCUGAGGCUAAAUAUGUGUUGUAAAUUAUAGGUAGUGAGGUAUUUUGCUGCGUAGGUGAUGUUAAAAGCUAAAAAUCGGAGCUGUGGAAUAUGUUUAAGCUGAAUGUGAGCGUUCUGUAAUGGUUGAAGCUUAAGAUAAAGUUGUGAACCAUAGGUAAAGCCAGGUAUUUUAGUGCUAAAUAUAAGUGUUUUAAAAGUGAAAUGAUAUGCUACCCAGGUGUGUAAGUUAAAGCUAAAGAUAACGUGUUCUGGAAAGUGAAACCGAGGUGUUAUGGUGUCCAGGUGAUGUUAAAGCGGCAAAGAUAAAUACCGUGAAAGGUGAAAGUGAGGUAUUACACUCCCUAAAUCAGUGUUGUGUAAUAUGGAAAAUCUAACCUUGUGAUCGAUGAAGAUAACGUGUCAUGAAAAAACCCAAUGGAGAUAUACCAAUCACGUCCUGCGAAAACACUGUAUUAGAUAACACGUGAUCCUAGUAUCGAUAGUAAGAGCCAUGUGAUAUCAGGUGACCCAGACCAAAGUGACCAAUAUGCUGAAGAUAACGGAGCCAAUCUGAUACUGUAAAUAGUCUGAUAAUUGUAGCAUUGAUGUUUUACGAACCGGAUAAGAGGAAAUGGACUUUGUGUUUACCUACGUCUGUUAUCCUUCAUUAGUUUCAUUGCAAGGUUCUUUCACUCCACCUGGGACACCUAAGCAGUAAAUCGUCGUUGGCCCAAGUUGUUCAGGUGUUAUUUUAUGAACUGGAUCUGCGUGUAUGUUCUUUCUGUUUAUACUUGCGUCUCUUGCCUGUAAUUAGUUUUGUUGCAAGGCGUUUUUACUAUACCUGGAAGACAUGAACACAAACUCGUAAUCCUAGACUCAUGUUAAGAUCCCAGAUUUAUUAAACUCCAAGUGUGUGGUAUUGCUGUUUACCUGCGUCUCUUACCUAUCAUUGCAAGGCGCUUUCAUUAUAUUCCUGGAACGCCUGAGCAGUGAGCACUUAAUCGUUAGCCGAGACUCCUAUUAAGUUAUUCAGGUAUUACCUUUGAGUCGUUAAGUUCUAAAUGUAUGGUCUUUCGGUUUACCUGCGUCUUUACCUUUAAUUAGUUUCAUUGUAAGGCGCUUUCUCUAUAUUCCUGGAACACCUGAGCACUGAAUCGUUAGCUGAGACUCUUAUUAGUUCUUCAGGUGUGCAGGUGUUGUCCCGAUCUUACAUUUACUUAUCUAGCUGUCAGCCCAGAUUCGUAUUACUUUCCCAGGUGUUAUCCCAGGCUCGUAUUUUAAGUUCCUCAGGAGUUAUCAGACUCAUACCAAGCUAUCAAAGUACUAUCCCAGGCUCAGCUAGUUCUGUGAAGGCUAGCAGAUGUUCUUUGCAUGCCCCCAAAAUUAAGGUCACGAGAGUUAAGUGAUUAAGGGAAGUAAUAUGAGUAAGAGGUUCAUGGAAAAAAUAUCAUCAGGGUCAUUAAGCUCUCUCCAAGUUUAAUCCCAGACCAGAAAUAAGUUGUCCACAUGUUAUCCAGGCCUUGUAUUAACCCCACGUGGCGCUCAGUCUCAAAAGUCGAGUGAACUAUUGUUUUGACCCUCACCCUCACGCCCUGGAUUUACGUUGAACCUAGACCAGAUCAAUCCGGAGAAACACACACACACACACACACACACACACACACACACACACACACACACACACACACACACACACACACACACACACACACACACAUACAUACAUACAUACAUACACACACACACACAUACGCCAUCACGCUAGCUAUGUGAAGACUAAUGGAAGGUCCUGCUGGUAUGCCAAAAAAUAAAAUAAAAAGUAAAAAGGUCAUCUGGGUGUAAUGAUCGAGGGAAAGUAAUGCAGUAACAAGUUCGUGGAAAAAUAAUUAAACCUCGAGUAAUAGAUUCAUGGGAAAGCAAUGUAAAUCUCUAGAAACUGAACUAAAAAGAAAGAUCGUGAGUCAUUGUGGACACGAAGCUUCUUGGAAAUGUUUGAUAGGAAAGAGGGAAUUGAUGGAAGUGCGUGGUAGUGGUGGUGGAGGUAGUGGUAUGUUGAUGUUGAUGUUCUUUUUCUUGGUUAUGGUGGUGGUAUUAGUGAUGGUGGUGUUACGUUACGGGUGGUGUUAGUGCUAUGGAUGGCGUCGGUGUUGAUGUUGUUAGUGGUGGUGGUGGUGUUGUUAUUGUUCUUAUUGGUGGUGGUGGUGUGGUGGUGGUGGUAGCGAGCACCAUCUGUCAGGCCCCGGCGGCAACAUCGUGACCCGGGUUGAGGCGCUGGUGCAAUCUACUCCGCCGCCGCCGCCGCCGUCCUUCUUUUCUCCUCAGCUCGUAAUCAUUCAAUCAAGAUAUCCUUCUGCCCUGGGAGAGUCACGAAGCGUCCUCCUCCUCCUCCUUGGACAUCGACUCUUCCUUCCUUUCUUUCUUCCUUCCUUCCUUCCUUCCAUCCUUCUUCCUUUUCUGUUCUUCCUCCUUCCUUCCUUCUUCUUUUCCUGUUACUCCUCCUCCUCCUCGGACAUUGAAUUUUCCUUCCUUUCUUCCUUCCUUCCUUCCUUCCUUCCUUCCUUCCUUUCUUCUUCUUUUCCUGUUCCUCCUUCUCCUCGGACAUUGACUUUUCCUUCCUUCCUUCCUUCCUUCCUUCCUUCCUUUCUUCUUCCUUUCCUGUUCUUCCUCCUCCUUCUCCUCGGACAUUGACUUUUCCUUCCUUCUUCCUUCCUUCCUUCCUUCCUUCCUUCCUUCCUUCUUCCUUUCCUGCUCUUCCUCCUCGGACAUCAGCUCUUCCUUCCUUCCUUCUUUCCUAUCUUCCUUGUUCCUCCUUACCACUUUUCCUUUGCACUUCACUCCUCUCUUCCUUUCCUUUCCCCUCCUUCCUGCUUCUCCUAUUUCCCUUUACUUUCCUCACUCUGCUUUCAUCGCAUUUUCCUUCUUCCCUUUCUUCUUCCCCUCUUCUCUUCUCUCUUUGCCUCACCCUCUUUACUCUGCUUCCCUUUCAUUCCCUCUUUAUGCUUGUUCUCUCUCUUUUUAUCAUCCCCUCUCCUUCUCUUCCCUCUAUACUUCUCUAAAAUUCUCUCUCCACGUUUGUCCUCUCCCUUCCUCCCUUUUCUCUCCCUCCCUUCUCCAUUACUCCCCUUUCACUCCCUCCCCUCUCUGCUUAUUCAUUCCUCAAACAUUUCUCUUUCUCCCCUCCAUUCCUCUCUCUCCUCCCCUUCCUCUCCCUUUUCCCCACCUUCGUCCGUCCCCUUCCUUCCGUCCACCCCCCCCGUCUCUCUCUCUCUCUCUCUCUCUCUCUCUCUCUCUCUCUCUAGGCUGGUUUGUGUCCAUCCACGGUCUCUUAACUCCUCCCUUCCCCUCUCCUCCCCCUCCUCCUCCCCUUCCCUCUCCUCUUUCUCCCCUUCUCCCUUUACUUCCUCUCACCCUGACCCACUUCUUAGCCUCUCCUUGCCCUUUCCUCUCCUCAUACAUCCCUAAGAAUUCUCCCUCUCUUACCCCUCUCUCCCUUCCUCUUCCCAUCUCCCCCUUCUAUCCCCCUUGCAACCCUCUGUUUCUUCCCUCAUCCUUCACCUAUCACGGCUUUCUCUCCCUUCGUUUUCUCCUCUCUUCCUUCAUUCUUCACCUCUUACCCUUUUCUUCUCUUUCCUUCCCCCUUCUCUCCUCCUUCCAUAUUUCUCCAUCAUUUCUCUCUCUCUCUCUCUCUCUCUCUCUCUCUCUCUCUCUCUCUCUCUCUCUCUCUCUCUCUCUCUCUCUUAAUCUCUUUCUCUCCUCAUCGUUCUUCUCUCAUCUCCUUUUUAUCUCCUUAUCCUUUCCCCUUUUAUUCCUCUCUUCCUCCUUUUUUCCUUCCCUUCUCUCUUCCCUUUUAUUCUCUUCACCUCUGCUUACCCAGAUCCUUCCCCUUUCUCUAUCCCUUUCCCCUCUUUCUCCUCUCCUCCUUUCCUUCUCUUUUCCCUUUUAUUCUAUUCACCUCUCUUUAUUCACAUCCUUCCCCUUUCUCACCCCAUCUCUAUCCCCUCCCCCUUCCCUCUCCCCCUUCCCUUCUUCUCCCUUCCCUCUCUCUCACUUCUCUUCACCCUUCCUCUUCCCCUUCCUGAAUCGGGCCGUCAUGGAGUCCUUCAGGGUAUCGAUCUGGGUCCCCUUUUUUAUUUGAUGCCGUCCGCCCAGAAACAGCGGCGGCGGCGGCGGUUGGGACGGUGAUAGUGGUGAUGGUGGUGAUGGUGAUGGUGGUGGUGGAGGAGGAGGAGGAGGGGGAGAAGGCGGCGGUUUAUUGUUGCUUGUUGCUGU